This is a transfer RNA of Puccinia sorghi, 87 nucleotides long. It matches the Rfam family "tRNA". From Rfam's summary of the family: Transfer RNA (tRNA) molecules are approximately 80 nucleotides in length. Their secondary structure includes four short double-helical elements and three loops (D, anti-codon, and T loops). Further hydrogen bonds mediate the characteristic L-shaped molecular structure. tRNAs have two regions of fundamental functional importance: the anti-codon, which is responsible for specific mRNA codon recognition, and the 3' end, to which the tRNAs corresponding amino acid is attached (by aminoacyl-tRNA synthetases). tRNAs cope with the degeneracy of the genetic code in two manners: having more than one tRNA (with a specific anti-codon) for a particular amino acid; and 'wobble' base-pairing, i.e. permitting non-standard base-pairing at the 3rd anti-codon position. NCBI's taxonomy places the organism in Eukaryota, Fungi, Basidiomycota, Pucciniomycetes, Pucciniales, Pucciniaceae. The record is from Rfam.
GUCUCCGUGGCGCAAUUGGUUAGCGCGUUCGACUGUUACUCGUGUAGUCACAUCGAGAGGUUGACAGUUCAAUCCUGUCCGGGGACG